Molecule: ribosomal RNA, 493 nt
Filed under: uncultured bacterium
Lineage: Bacteria
Description: bacterial SSU rRNA
Rfam family: Bacterial small subunit ribosomal RNA
Source: RNAcentral
AGAGUUUGAUCCUGGCUCAGGAUGAACGCUGGCGGCGUGCCUAAUACAUGCAAGUCGAGCGGUAAGGCUUUCACUCUGUAUUUAAUGAGUUGAAUAUAGUGUGAAAGUACACGAGCGGCGGACGGCUGAGUAAACGCGUAGGAACGUACCCCAAAGUGAGGGAUAAGCACCGGAAACGGUGUCUAAUACCGCAUGUGAUCUUCGGAUUAAAGCUUUAUGCGCUUUGGGGAGCGGCCUGCGUAAGAUUAGUUUGUUGGUGAGGUAAUGGCUCACCAAGACUACGAUCUUUAGCUGGUCUGAGAGGAUGAUCAGCCAGACUGGGACUGAAACACGGCCCAGACUCCUACGGGAGGCAGCAGUAGGGAAUUUCCACAAUGGACGAAAGUCUGAUGGAGCAACGCCGCGUGCAGGAUGAAGGCCUUCGGGUUGUAAACUGCUUUUAUCUGUGACGAUUAUGACGGUAGCAGAUGAAUAAGGAUCGGCUAACUCCGUG